Molecule: ribosomal RNA, 497 nt
Filed under: uncultured bacterium
Lineage: Bacteria
Description: partial 16S ribosomal RNA
Rfam family: Bacterial small subunit ribosomal RNA
Source: RNAcentral
GAUGAACGCUGGCGGCGUGCCUAAUACAUGCAAGUCGAGCGAACAGACGAGGAGCUUGCUCCUCUGACGUUAGCGGCGGACGGGUGAGUCACACGUGGAUACCCUCCCUAUCAGACUGGGAUACCUUCGGGACACCGGCGCUAAUACCGGAUAAUCUAUUGAACCGCCUUGUUCAAUAGUAAAAGACGGUUUUGCUGUCUCUUAUCGAUGGCUCCCAGCCGCAUUAGAUAGUUGUUAAGGUCACGGCUUACCAAGGCAACGAUGCGUAGACGACCUGCGAGGGUGAUCGGCCACACGGGAACUGAGACGCGGUCCAGACUCCUACGGGAGGCAGCAGUAUGGAAUCUGCCGCAAUGGUCGAAAGCCUGACGGAGCAACGCCGCGUGAGUGAUGAAGGUCUUCGGAGCGGAAAACUCGGUUAUUAGGGAAGAACAAAUGUGUAAGGAACUAUGCACGACGUGACGGUACCUAAUCAGAAAGCCACGGCUAACUACGUG